This 1372-nucleotide ribosomal RNA is filed under the name uncultured bacterium. RNAcentral's name for it is "bacterial SSU rRNA". It matches the Rfam family "Bacterial small subunit ribosomal RNA", at positions 28 to 1381 of the family's 1533-position model. The record is from RNAcentral.
GAUGAACGCUGGCGGCGUGCCUAAUACAUGCAAGUCGAGCGAACGGACGAGAAGCUUGCUUCUCUGAUGUUAGCGGCGGACGGGUGAGUAACACGUGGAUAACCUACCUAUAAGACUGGGAUAACUUCGGGAAACCGGAGCUAAUACCGGAUAAUAUUUUGAACCGCAUGGUUCAAAAGUGAAAGACGGUCUUGCUGUCACUUAUAGAUGGAUCCGCGCUGCAUUAGCUAGUUGGUAAGGUAACGGCUUACCAAGGCAACGAUGCAUAGCCGACCUGAGAGGGUGAUCGGCCACACUGGAACUGAGACACGGUCCAGACUCCUACGGGAGGCAGCAGUAGGGAAUCUUCCGCAAUGGGCGAAAGCCUGACGGAGCAACGCCGCGUGAGUGAUGAAGGUCUUCGGAUCGUAAAACUCUGUUAUUAGGGAAGAACAUAUGUGUAAGUAACUGUGCACAUCUUGACGGUACCUAAUCAGAAAGCCACGGCUAACUACGUGCCAGCAGCCGCGGUAAUACGUAGGUGGCAAGCGUUAUCCGGAAUUAUUGGGCGUAAAGCGCGCGUAGGCGGUUUUUUAAGUCUGAUGUGAAAGCCCACGGCUCAACCGUGGAGGGUCAUUGGAAACUGGAAAACUUGAGUGCAGAAGAGGAAAGUGGAAUUCCAUGUGUAGCGGUGAAAUGCGCAGAGAUAUGGAGGAACACCAGUGGCGAAGGCGACUUUCUGGUCUGUAACUGACGCUGAUGUGCGAAAGCGUGGGGAUCAAACAGGAUUAGAUACCCUGGUAGUCCACGCCGUAAACGAUGAGUGCUAAGUGUUAGGGGGUUUCCGCCCCUUAGUGCUGCAGCUAACGCAUUAAGCACUCCGCCUGGGGAGUACGACCGCAAGGUUGAAACUCAAAGGAAUUGACGGGGACCCGCACAAGCGGUGGAGCAUGUGGUUUAAUUCGAAGCAACGCGAAGAACCUUACCAAAUCUUGACAUCCUUUGACAACUCUAGAGAUAGAGCCUUCCCCUUCGGGGGACAAAGUGACAGGUGGUGCAUGGUUGUCGUCAGCUCGUGUCGUGAGAUGUUGGGUUAAGUCCCGCAACGAGCGCAACCCUUAAGCUUAGUUGCCAUCAUUAAGUUGGGCACUCUAAGUUGACUGCCGGUGACAAACCGGAGGAAGGUGGGGAUGACGUCAAAUCAUCAUGCCCCUUAUGAUUUGGGCUACACACGUGCUACAAUGGACAAUACAAAGGGCAGCGAAACCGCGAGGUCGAGCAAAUCCCAUAAAGUUGUUCUCAGUUCGGAUUGUAGUCUGCAACUCGACUACAUGAAGCUGGAAUCGCUAGUAAUCGUAGAUCAGCAUGCUACGGUGAAUACGUUCCCGGGUCU